This 497-nucleotide ribosomal RNA is filed under the name uncultured bacterium. RNAcentral's name for it is "partial 16S ribosomal RNA". It matches the Rfam family "Bacterial small subunit ribosomal RNA", at positions 28 to 507 of the family's 1533-position model. The record is from RNAcentral.
GAUGAACGCUGGCGGCGUGCCUAAUACUUGCAAGUCGAGCGAACAGAUAAGGAGCUUGCUCCUUUGACGUUAGCGGCGGACGGGUGAGUAACACGUGGGUAACCUACCUAUAAGACUGGAAUAACUCCGGGAAACCGGGGCUAAUGCAGGAUAACAUGUUGAACCGCAUGGUUCUACAGUGAAAGGCGGCUUUGCUGUCACUUAUAGAUGGACCCGCGCCGUAUUAGCUAGUUGGUGAGGUAACGGCUCACCAAGGCAACGAUACGUAGCCGACCUGAGAGGGUGAUCGGCCACACUGGAACUGAGACACGGUCCAGACUCCUACGGGAGGCAGCAGUAGGGAAUCUUCCGCAAUGGGCGAAAGCCUGACGGAGCAACGCCGCGUGAGUGAUGAAGGUCUUCGGAUCGUAAAACUCUGUUAUUAGGGAAGAACAAAUGCGUAAGUAACUGUGCGCGUCUUGACGGUACCUAAUCAGAAAGCCACGGCUAACUACGUG